RNAcentral lists this transfer RNA (142 nucleotides) under Bacteriophage sp. RNAcentral describes it as "tRNA-Lys". It matches the Rfam family "tRNA". Rfam says of the family: Transfer RNA (tRNA) molecules are approximately 80 nucleotides in length. Their secondary structure includes four short double-helical elements and three loops (D, anti-codon, and T loops). Further hydrogen bonds mediate the characteristic L-shaped molecular structure. tRNAs have two regions of fundamental functional importance: the anti-codon, which is responsible for specific mRNA codon recognition, and the 3' end, to which the tRNAs corresponding amino acid is attached (by aminoacyl-tRNA synthetases). tRNAs cope with the degeneracy of the genetic code in two manners: having more than one tRNA (with a specific anti-codon) for a particular amino acid; and 'wobble' base-pairing, i.e. permitting non-standard base-pairing at the 3rd anti-codon position. The record is from RNAcentral.
GGGCUGUUGGCGAAAUUGGUAGACGCAAGGGUCAUUUAUAACCUAUCAAACUUGUCCGAUAGGAAUGCCGAUAGGUUUACAUUUUUAAAUUGAAAACUUAAGGACAACCCUCGAUUUGCAGGUUCGACUCCUGCACAGCCCG